Molecule: ribosomal RNA, 497 nt
Filed under: uncultured bacterium
Lineage: Bacteria
Description: partial 16S ribosomal RNA
Rfam family: Bacterial small subunit ribosomal RNA
Source: RNAcentral
GAUGAACGCUGGCGGCGUGCCUAAUACAUGCAAGUCGAGCGAACGGACGAGAAGCUUGCUUCUCUGAUGUUAGCGGCGGACGGGUGAGUAACACGUGGAUAACCUACCUAUAAGACUGGGAUAACUUCGGGAAACCGGAGCUAAUACCGGAUAAUAUUUUGAACCGCAUGGUUCAAAAGUGAAAGACGGUCUUGCUGUCACUUAUAGAUGGAUCCGGGCUGCAUUAGCUAGUUGGUAAGGUAACGGCUUACCAAGGCAACGAUGCAUAGCCGACCUGAGAGGGUGAUCAGCCACACUGGAACUGAGACACGGUCCAGACUCCUACGGGAGGCAGCAGUAGGGAAUCUUCCGCAAUGGGCGAAAGCCUGACGGAGCAACGCCGCGUGAGUGAUGAAGGUCUUCGGAUCGUAAAACUCUGUUAUUAGGGAAGAACAUAUGUGUAAGUAACUGUGCACAUCUUGACGGUACCUAAUCAGAAAGCCACGGCUAACUACGUG